UCUUAGUGGCGGACGGGUGAGUAACGCGUGGGUAACCUGCCUUAUACAGGGGGAUAACACUUAGAAAUAGGUGCUAAUACCGCAUAAGCGCACGGGGCUGCAUGGCCCAGUGUGAAAAACUCCGGUGGUAUAAGAUGGACCCGCGUCUGAUUAGCUUGUUGGCGGGGUAACGGCCCACCAAGGCGACGAUCAGUAGCCGGCCUGAGAGGGUGAACGGCCACAUUGGGACUGAGACACGGCCCAAACUCCUACGGAAGGCAGCAG
RNAcentral lists this ribosomal RNA (264 nucleotides) under uncultured bacterium. RNAcentral's name for it is "partial 16S ribosomal RNA". It matches the Rfam family "Bacterial small subunit ribosomal RNA", at positions 90 to 354 of the family's 1533-position model. The record is from RNAcentral.